This is a long non-coding RNA of Temnothorax curvispinosus, 556 nucleotides long. RefSeq lists it as uncharacterized. Lineage: Eukaryota; Metazoa; Arthropoda; Insecta; Hymenoptera; Formicidae. The record is from RefSeq and is a predicted model, not a curated record. The transcript has 3 exons.
AUGCCGCCGUGUUGUAUCUCCUGAAAGAAAGGCUAACUGAGUAAAGGAAUCGUUUUCCUGAUCGCCGACAUGGAGCUCACCGACGACAAUUUGGUAACGUUGAGCGAAUAUCAGAAACACACACUCUCAGCCCAGACGUGAAUGUCAAACGUCCAGCCGAGAAAGUUUCUGGAGUCGGUGGAAGUCAAUCAGAAUUAUCCUUUACUACUACUUCAUUUGGUGGACAAAUCUGAGAUUAACAUCACGAUUAGGAUUGCCGGCGCAAUUUAAAAGAAUUAUGUUAAGCGCAACUGGAAAGUGGAGGAGGAUUCAGUGGAUCGUAUACAUGCCCAAGACAGAGAUGCCGUCAAGAAACUAAUCGUUAAUCUGAUGUUACAUUCACCAGAUUCGAUACAAAAGCAGUUGUCUGAUGCAGUAUCUAUUAUUGGAAAAUAUGACUUUCCGAACAAGUGGCCAGAAUUGAUUGAUCAGAUGGUAGAGAAGUUCAACACGCGAUUUUCAUGUGAUCAAUGGAGUCCUACACACGGCGCAUUCCUUAUUUAAGAGAUAUAGAUAC